AGAGUUUGAUCCUGGCUCAGGAUGAACGCUGGCGGCGUGCUUAACACAUGCAAGUCGAACGAACCUUCGGGUUAGUGGCGGACGGGUGAGUAACGCGUGAGAAUCUGCCCUCAGGAGGGGGAUAACGAUUGGAAACGAUCGCUAAUACCCCAUAUGCCUACUGGUGAAACGAAUUUCGCCUGAGGAUGAGCUCGCGUCUGAUUAGCUAGUUGGUGAGGUAAUGGCUCACCAAGGCUUCGAUCAGUAGCUGGUCUGAGAGGAUGAUCAGCCACACUGGGACUGAGACACGGCCCAGACUCCUACGGGAGGCAGCAGUGGGGAAUUUUCCGCAAUGGGCGAAAGCCUGACGGAGCAACGCCGCGUGAGGGACGAAGGCCUCUGGGCUGUAAACCUCUUUUCUCAAGGAAGAAGAUAUGACGGUACUUGAGGAAUAAGCCACGGCUAAUUCCGUGCCAGCAGCCGCGGUAAUACGGGAGUGGCAAGCGUUAUCCGGAAUUAUUGGGCGUAAAGCGUCCGCAGGCGGCUUUUCAAGUCUGCUGUUAAAGCGUGGAGCUUAACUCCAUCAUGGCAGUGGAAACUGAAAGGCUUGAGUAUGGUAGGGGCAGAGGGAAUUCCCGGUGUAGCGGUGAAAUGCGUAGAUAUCGGGAAGAACACCAGUGGCGAAGGCGCUCUGCUGGGCCAUUACUGACGCUCAUGGACGAAAGCCAGGGGAGCGAAAGGGAUUAGAUACCCCUGUAGUCCUGGCCGUAAACGAUGAACACUAGGUGUCGGGGGAAUCGACCCCUUCGGUGUCGUAGCUAACGCGUUAAGUGUUCCGCCUGGGGAGUACGCACGCAAGUGUGAAACUCAAAGGAAUUGACGGGGGCCCGCACAAGCGGUGGAGUAUGUGGUUUAAUUCGAUGCAACGCGAAGAACCUUACCAGGGUUUGACAUCCUGCGAACCUCUUAGAAAUUUGAGGGUGCCUUCGGGAAUGCAGUGACAGGUGGUGCAUGGCUGUCGUCAGCUCGUGUCGUGAGAUGUUGGGUUAAGUCCCGCAACGAGCGCAACCCACGUUUUUAGUUGCCAGCAUUUAGUUGGGCACUCUAGAAAGACCGCCGGUGAUAAACCGGAGGAAGGUGUGGAUGACGUCAAGUCAUCAUGCCCCUUACACCCUGGGCUACACACGUACUACAAUGCUACGGACAAAGGGCAGCAAACUCGCGAGAGCUAGCAAAUCCCAUAAACCGUGGCUCAGUUCAGAUCGUAGGCUGCAACUCGCCUACGUGAAGUAGGAAUCGCUAGUAAUCGCAGGUCAGCAUACUGCGGUGAAUACGUUCCCGGGCCUUGUACACACCGCCCGUCACACCAUGGAAGUUGGCCAUGCCCGAAGUCGUUACUCCAACCCUUGUGGAGGAGGACGCCGAAGGUGGGGCUAAUGACUGGGGUGAAGUCGUAACAAGGUAGCCGUACCGGAAGGUGCGGCUG
RNAcentral lists this ribosomal RNA (1465 nucleotides) under Prochlorococcus sp. AG-424-A03. RNAcentral describes it as "bacterial SSU rRNA". It matches the Rfam family "Bacterial small subunit ribosomal RNA". Lineage: Bacteria; Bacillati; Cyanobacteriota; Cyanophyceae; Synechococcales; Prochlorococcaceae. The record is from RNAcentral.